GAAUGAUAAUUGAAUGUUAAUCUGAUUAAAUGUUACUUUGACUGCAGUAUUACGAAAAACUCAUGAACGCAGCAUAGCUCUGAAGGAUUUUGAGGUUGAUGAUGAAGUGUUUGACCUCUUACAAGAUACUGGUUUUGAGAACUUGCCUAAACUUGGCAUAAAUCUUAACCAUAAUUAUGCUUUGAUCGGUGCUUUAGUUUCAAAGUAUGAUAGUAAAAACCAAGUAUUUGUUUUUUGUGAGAAAAAAGAAGUGCGUCUAUAUUUUGGUUUGAUAGACGUUUUGCACAUUCUUGGUCUGCCAAUUGGUGGCUCUUAUCCAUAGAUAUGGAGAAAUUCCCGGGGCACGUUGUAGCUCAACAGCUAUUUGAGAACCCUAGAAUUUUUAAAUUUAUGAAUUGAAGAUUAAAAAAACAAAUUAAGUCAUCUUAUACCUUAAGAAUUCUAGAGUUCACAAAUAACUGUUGAGCUACAUCAAUGGAUAAGGGCCACCAAUUAGCAGGCCAAGAAUGUGCAAAACGUCUAUCAAACCAAAAUAUAGACACUUUUUUUUCUCACCAAAAACAAAUACUUGGUUUUUAGUAUCGUACUUUGAAACUAAAGCACUGAUCAAAGCAGAAUUAUACUUAAGAUUUGUAUCAAGUUUAAGCAAGUUCUCAAAACCAGUAUCUUGCAAGAGGUCAAGCACUUCAUCAUCAACCUCAAAAUCCUUCAAAGCAAUGCUACGUUCAUAAGUUUUUUGCAAUGCUGCAAUCAAAAUAACAUUCAAUCAGAUUAAC
This 776-nucleotide long non-coding RNA is filed under the name Manihot esculenta (cassava). RNAcentral describes it as "long non-coding RNA (MESC_LNC004544)". Lineage: Eukaryota; Viridiplantae; Streptophyta; Magnoliopsida; Malpighiales; Euphorbiaceae. The record is from RNAcentral.